This 22-nucleotide non-coding RNA is filed under the name Gossypium hirsutum (cotton). Lineage: Eukaryota; Viridiplantae; Streptophyta; Magnoliopsida; Malvales; Malvaceae. The record is from RNAcentral.
UUUAGCCUCGAAAUUUACAAGU